Molecule: long non-coding RNA, 436 nt
Organism: Sardina pilchardus (European sardine)
Lineage: Eukaryota; Metazoa; Chordata; Actinopteri; Clupeiformes; Clupeidae
Exons: 3
Source: RefSeq, a predicted model, not a curated record
ACAAGAUGUCUCAUGAAGGAAAUGCCCUACGUCAGAGCAGUAUCUGGCCACUCACAGUGGCGCUUUUUGGUGGUUACGAAAUGAUCUCUGAGGCCUAGGCAAAAAGGGUGGCAAGACCUUUUACCUUGGCAGGUCAACUUCUGUCAGCGAUGUUACUGCCAAGUGCAGCCAAUGUUGCUGUUCCAUUGCUGGAUUUCCCUGUUGACAAAAUCCAGGAUAAUGCGGAUCUUGAAAGCUUUUGUUUGAUUGUGUAAAAACAACAACUCUUACAAGCAGAUCACCAGGCGAUAGGACAAGAUCAGCAAAUGUUGUCAUCUUUCUAGCCUACUCCACCUCCCCAUUGGCAAGUACUGUAUCUCUCACUGGACAAAGACAUGGAAACUAAAUGUAUGAUGCUGUAAGGCAAAAUGAAAUAAAGAACUAUAUGGUGAAACUA